This 132-nucleotide small nucleolar RNA is filed under the name Ovis aries (sheep). Its description in RNAcentral is "Small nucleolar RNA SNORA79 (ENSOARG00000021458.1)". Lineage: Eukaryota; Metazoa; Chordata; Mammalia; Artiodactyla; Bovidae. The record is from RNAcentral.
GAAUGCAUGUAAGAAUUAAAGAUUUUGCUCUUUUCAUUUUGGUGGUGGGCUUGACUUGUCUUCACUCAGGGCACUAUGGGGAUGGGUUGGCUGUCCGUUAGUGCCUUCUGAUUUUUGCGGAGUCAAACAAUU